Molecule: ribosomal RNA, 432 nt
Filed under: uncultured bacterium
Lineage: Bacteria
Description: partial 16S ribosomal RNA
Rfam family: Bacterial small subunit ribosomal RNA
Source: RNAcentral
ACGAACGCUGGCGGCAUGCCUAACACAUGCAAGUCGAACGAGACCUUCGGGUCUAGUGGCGCACGGGUGCGUAACACGUGGGAACCUGCCCUUAGGUUCGGAAUAACUCCCCGAAAGGGGUGCUAAUACCGGAUAAUGUCUUCGGACCAAAGAUUUAUCGCCUUUGGAUGGGCCCGCGUUGGAUUAGCUAGUUGGUAGGGUAAAAGCCUACCAAGGCGACGAUCCAUAGCUGGUCUGAGAGGAUGAUCAGCCACACUGGGACUGAGACACGGCCCAGACUCCUACGGGAGGCAGCAGUGGGGAAUAUUGGACAAUGGGCGAAAGCCUGAUCCAGCAAUGCCGCGUGAGUGAUGAAGGCCUUAGGGUUGUAAAGCUCUUUUACCCGGGAUGAUAAUGACAGUACCGGGAGAAUAAGCUCCGGCUAACUCCGUG